UUUUAUUGGGUACUUACUAUGUGCCAAAUACUAUACUAAAUGCUUUUUACAAAAUUUAAUCCUAAUAACAAAUCAGUAAAGCAGAUAUUAUCAUUGGCCACAAUUUUACAUAUGAGGAAAUGAGCCUUUGAGAGGUCGAGCAGCUUUUUAAUGAUCUCACCACCAAUAGGUUAUGGAAAUGAGAUGGUAAGAUUAAUAAUAUCUGCUUCCACAGAACUCUGCACUUCCCUUAUCAUGAAUGAUACUCCUCAAACGUCUUUGUAAUUGCUUGUUUAGUAUCUGUUCUCCCCACUCUAUGAAAGCGGAGUCUGUGUCUGCAUCUAGCAUAUUUAACAUUUUAUUCUCCCAACCAAAGUACCUGGCAUCCAAUAGUAAUAGCUCAACAAUGUUUGUCAAAUGAAGUCAAAGAAUCAAUAAACUUAGGAAACAACAGGACUUAAAAAUUAUGGAGAAAAUAAUAGGUUACUAACAUUCUUGACGGGUUACAACACAGAUGCCUAUUCCCUGAGAUGAUUACCCACACUUGGCUUUCAAAAGAAAUUACAGCUAUGAAGUCCACAGAAUGAUACAUAUAUUUGGCACAGAAGCCAGCCUCUCUAAGUAGAGCAGCCAAAGGCUUUGCAUUGGAAGCUGUGCUGCAUGAAGGGAAGUAACUCUGGCAAAAUCUAGAAACAACAACUAAUGAUUACGAAUUAAUACUUCUUAAGAGUGAGGAGGAUGACCUUGGGACCAUGACAUUAUUAAAUAAACUGUCAUUGUCGGGGGAUGUUUUUCUCCACCUUCUUUAUUCCUCAUGAAGUUGCUCCCAAUCCAAAUAAGAACAAAGGAUACAAUGCAGCUGGUUUAGGUUGUGCUGAUCAUACCCCUUUGUAACAGAGCAUGGCGUUGAGUAUAUGAUGAUUAAUUUAGAGUGAAGUCAAGUUAAAAGCAGAUGAGAACUGGCAGUUCUAUCAGAUGGAACUCUUUAAUAUACUUAGGAACACUUAACGUACUUGGGUGAAAAUUAAUGCUGAGGGUUUUGGGUACAGACCAUUUAUAAGUAGGUUUGUCUGGAAGAAGAUUAAGCAGUGUAUGAUGGUGGGUGGAUGGAUGGACAGAAGGCAGAUGGAUGGAUGAGUAAAUGGAUUCAGGUGAUGACAGCAGGCAUAGAAAUGAAGGCAUUCACUAAGAAAACAAAGAAUAAAUAAUACAAUUCUUCAAAUUUGUUUCUAAGGUAGGAGCAAAGAUCAUUAUGUUUGAAGUAUAAACAAUUAGAAAUUUGCAGUUUUAUUUUUUAAAAGUGGCAUCCUGGAAAGGAGCAUGAUUUAAUCAGUGUGAUGAUAAGUUUGGUUUUAGAUGUAACUUAUAUCUAAGAGAGAUCUAAGAGAACAGAUGGAAUUACAAUAUUAGAAUGUUUAUGAGAGAUCAGGAACAAAGACCAAGAUUUGGGGAGCAUUAAUAUUGACGUGACCACUGAAGCCAUCAGCAUAGGUUAAUUUACCAAAAGAGGAGAGUGAGAAGCCCAGGGAGCUAUAGGAAUACCCACAAAAAAGGGAUAAGAAGAUGAAGUGUAAUGAGAGGGGUGCUCAGUGGUGGUCAGAAGGUUUGUUGUUCAGGACUACAGAAGUCAAAAUGAAAACGUUUCAAGAAGAACAAUAGUUAAACUUGUUUAAUAUGACAAAGGAAUCAAGAAGGAGAAGAUUAAGAAAAGACAUUGAAUUCAUCUGAAAGGAAAGUCACUGACACGCAGAAUGCUGGUGUAUGGAAAGCAGCCAAAAAGCAGAUUAAGCAGUGAGAGUUAAAGUUAAAGGAGGUGGUAAGCUUACAUUACUCAUUUAAGGACUUUGGGUAUAAAAGGAAGGAAAGAAGUAUAAUGGUGGGAAAUGUUAGGGGCAUUAGGUUAACAAAAUAAAAGGAUACUGAUAUAAUAAAGAAGAAUCUAAUCUUGAAUUCUACACUAUACCCUCCUAGUAAAUUAGUAGCCUUGGAAGGCUCAUUAACUCUGUGAGGGCACCAGGGUAUUGUUCCAUGUAUUAUAUUUGCUGCGCCUGACAAAGCAUAGAGGCUAUGUACUCACAGCUUUAGGAAAACCAUUUCCUGUCACAUUGGAGAGACUCCCUUGGAAAUAAAGAUACCAUUAUGAGCAACAGAAGCAGCAGUGUCUGCUUUUCUAUCAGGAAUAAAUAUCUGAAGAUAACUGUCAAAUCCUUUAGCUAAAAGUUAAUCUCUCAUCAUCAGAUUUUAAGCUACCAGGCCAUCUUUAUGUCUCAAUUUAUUCAUUUGUAAAAUAAGGAGUUUAGAGAGGAUGAUCUAUAAGGAAAUUCUCAGCUCUCAAAAUCCAUAUUCACUGAUUCUUUCCUUCUCAGACCCCAUCACCUGGGGAUGAAGGGAGGUGACUAUAACAUGAAAUGCAAUGAUGCAAUUAAGAAUGGACACAGGAAGCUGUUUUCUUCUUUUUCUCUUUUGCUUGCUCUCCAUUUUCCUUUAUUUUCUACACUUCAGUUUAAAAAUGCAACUUGAAAACUUCUUUAUGGAUCUUAUGAAUGCUAAGGGUUUUUACAAGGGAUUCAUUGACAUUUGAAAUAUUUUACCUAUCACAUGGCCCUUAGAAUCCUUGUAAAUAGUAUUAUGGACAAUAAUUAGAAAAGUAGUAAUAAUGAAACUUACCAUUAUAAUGUUAAUCCCUUUAACCUAAUUCAUUUUUGAAAACAGAAUGUAUAUUAUUGAAAUGGAUUUUCUCAUCUGUAGGCUUCUAAAUUUCAGAUUUAUUUGGAAGAGUGUGAGAAUUCUACUGUCCUCUAUAGCCCUAUAUUGUACAAACCUUUAAUGAUGCACAUCAUAAUUUCUGGAGCCUAAAAUAUAGAAUGUAUCAAUUCAAUUCAACACGUAUUUGGUGAGGGCCUAUUGUGAGAUUUUGGACAUGUUAAAAUGCAGGCAUGGAGUUAUCUACAUGAGCUUAUUAUCUAAUAGGGGAGGGGACUAGCAAUGUUUAUAAUAGCUAUCAUCUAGAUGCUAAUUUGCAACCAAAAAUGUGCUGUCACCUCAUUCUCAUUUGACCCUGACAGCUGCCCUGUAAGGUAAGCUUGCUUCUUGGUUUCCUAUUUACAGAUGAUGAAAUCAAGGAAAAGAGAGGAAAAGUGAGUUGUCCCAAGUCAAAGCAAAUGAUGGGCUAAAACCUAAAUCUUUCCCUCAAAAUAGCAAGCUCUCUUUGCUGUAUGUGGAGGUAGCAGGAUGUAAGAAAUGUCUGGACACUUGCAGUUAGAGUAGGCAUAUUGAAUGUGAAGUUGGGAGGUGAUGGGUGUGGACAUUAUACCAGGAGAUAAGCCUGGAAAACAGGUAGGAACCACACACUAGGGAAGUUUAGAUCCCAACCACAACAGUUUAGGCGUUAUUAUUUAUGGAUUAGUUGCUAAAUGAAGGAUGUUGAAAAGAUAAAGUCAGAUGUGUGUUUUACGAAGAGUCCUGAUGGCACCCAGGAGGGUGGCAAGGAGAGUCACGACCAGCACAGAGGCAGUGGGCUUGCAAGGGGGGCGGAUAAUGUUAGAGGUGCUUUCCCUAAGAGGAAGCAGACCCACUUUGGAUUUGCUGGGUGUUACCAGGCCUAGAUUCAGUCCACAUGUCCUACUGCCCACUCCCCAGUCUAUAAAGAAAAUAUUUAACCUUUUAAAAAUUUACUUUACAAGGUAGGGGACUUAAAGAUCCCUUCCUGUUACUAGAAUCGACCUGAUGAUUUCAAGUAAUUAACUUAUUUAGCAAGCUUUUCUUUCUGACAGUCUUUUUAAGCUCUCUCUAUACCAGGUCACAAUAUAAAAUCAGCCUGUUAGUUUGAUUUCUUUAAUUUCUGUCUCAUUAUAGCUUAUUGGUUCUUUCAAAACAGAAGUAACAGCAGUGAUGUCAGCAAGAUGGUAAAGUAGGAGACAGCAGCCUUCAUCCUCCCCCAAAACAACAGACAGCUACCCACAAAUGAAGAUGGCCCCAGAAGGGCUCAAUAAACCCAGUUGAAAAUCUACAGCAGCACAAUGACACCAAGUAGUGUUCUACAGAGAGGUAGGUGUGGAUUGUAAAUGGUGGAACCAGCAUCUUGGAAG
Non-coding RNA from Microcebus murinus (gray mouse lemur), 4067 nucleotides. The record is from RefSeq and is a predicted model, not a curated record. Lineage: Eukaryota; Metazoa; Chordata; Mammalia; Primates; Cheirogaleidae.